RNAcentral lists this ribosomal RNA (253 nucleotides) under uncultured bacterium. RNAcentral describes it as "partial 16S ribosomal RNA". It matches the Rfam family "Bacterial small subunit ribosomal RNA", at positions 524 to 776 of the family's 1533-position model. The record is from RNAcentral.
UACGAAGGGGGCGAGCGUUGUUCGGAAUUACUGGGCGUAAAGGGCGCGUAGGCGGCCCCUUUUGUCGCGUGUGAAAGCCCCGGGCUCAACCUGGGAACGGCGCGCGAAACUGCGGAGCUGGAGUCCUGGAGAGGAAGGCGGAAUUCUCGGUGUAGAGGUGAAAUUCGUAGAUAUCGAGAGGAACACCGGUGGCGAAGGCGGUUCUCUGGGCCUUACCUGACGCUGAGGAGCGAAGGCGUGGGGAGCGAACGGG